RNAcentral lists this ribosomal RNA (424 nucleotides) under uncultured bacterium. RNAcentral's name for it is "partial 16S ribosomal RNA". It matches the Rfam family "Bacterial small subunit ribosomal RNA", at positions 354 to 796 of the family's 1533-position model. The record is from RNAcentral.
GUGGGGAAUCUUGCGCAAUGGGCGAAAGCCUGACGCAGCCAUGCCGCGUGAAUGAUGAAGGUCUUAGGAUUGUAAAAUUCUUUCACCGGGGACGAUAAUGACGGUACCCGGAGAAGAAGCCCCGGCUAACUUCGUGCCAGCAGCCGCGGUAAUACGAAGGGGGCUAGCGUUGCUCGGAAUUACUGGGCGUAAAGGGAGCGUAGGCGGAUAGUUUAGUCAGAGGUGAAAGCCCAGGGCUCAACCUUGGAAUUGCCUUUGAUACUGGCUAUCUUGAGUAUGGAAGAGGUAUGUGGAACUCCGAGUGUAGAGGUGAAAUUCGUAGAUAUUCGGAAGAACACCAGUGGCGAAGGUGACAUACUGGUCCAUUACUGACGCUGAGGCUCGAAAGCGUGGGGAGCAAACAGGAUUAGAUACCUAGUAGUCC